CGUGUAGGCGGCAUAGUAAGUCAGAUGUGAAAGCCCUCGGCUUAACCGAGGAAGUGCAUUUGAAACUGCUAAGCUAGAGUACGGGAGAGGGUUGUAGAAUUCCCGGUGUAGAGGUGAAAUUCGUAGAUAUCGGGAGGAAUACCGGUGGCGAAGGCGGCAGCCUGGACCGAUACUGACGCUGAGACGCGAAAGCGUGGGUAGCAAACAGGAUUAGAUACCCUGGUAGUCC
This 229-nucleotide ribosomal RNA is filed under the name uncultured bacterium. RNAcentral describes it as "partial 16S ribosomal RNA". It matches the Rfam family "Bacterial small subunit ribosomal RNA", at positions 568 to 796 of the family's 1533-position model. The record is from RNAcentral.